CUGUUGUUAUUUUGUUACUACUUUUUUCCAUUGGCUAUAGUUGCAUCUUGCACUGGGAUUUGUCCUGUUGUCAUCUGUUGUUACUGCUGUUGUUUGGUGUAUGCUAUUAUUGCUCUACUGACUCUCCUGCUUCUUCAUUGUAAGCAUUUCCCACGUACACAUUUAGACCCCCACACUGGUGUAACUGAUUGUAACAAUGAAAUCAUGAAUUGAAAGAUCUGAAGGAAUUAUAAUCAUCUGCUGUUUUACUUACAGUCUUUUGUAAAUGUUGUUAAGUUGUGUAGAUUUUAGUUUGUAGUUCGAUAGAUAAUACAUUAGCAAGUUUGUAUUUAAUUGAAGCUUAUGCUGAUCUAAACCACGAUAUGUGAUUCAUUUAAUGGUAUAUAGGAUGUAACUAUAAUUCAUGGCAUAUGCAACCAUUAGUAUGAUUGUUAAUUCAAACUCGUUCUUCAGCAUGUUUUGAAUAUGUAGGGUGGACGGUUCGCUUCAAUUUUGCAAAAAUACAAUACAGUUUUAGAUUCUCGAGUUUCAACUUCAUUAGGCAGUUUAUAGGAUGAGUUUCAAAUAUCAUUAGUCGCAUCCUCUAAUAAGUGGAUUUAAUUAAUCCUGUUUAAAUGAGUUAAAUUUAAUUCAAGGAGCGCUUGUAGUAGUUGUAGCGUUUCAUCAAUCUUGUAUGUAAUUUUCAUUAAAUUAAAAGCAUAUUCCAUGAGGUCUAACCUCAAAAACUGAUCAUAAUAAAUACUUAGAUUUUGGGAUGGACUGUUUAGUGAAUUUCACUGCCUUCCCCAAAGAUAAUAACGCGUUAGACUCUUUAGGUGCGGCUUAAUUAAAUCACAUUCUUAAAUUCGGGUGCGCAUUUAUGUGACCCAAAUUCCUAUCUCAACAAAGUCGAAAUGUGUUAACAACUACGGGUGCAUUGAUUGUGACGUGGUUCGAGAUGCAUUUUCACGACGUUGCAAUUCUAUAAAAAUAAAUGAUGAUAAUAAAAGCGGUUUAAACUUAAUAAAAGCACGUAAGUCAGAACACAUAUUUAAACCAGAUAUUUAGCCAUUAUAACAAUUUGAGCGACUGUGCUAGAACCACGGGAUUCGAGGGUGCCUAACACCUUCCCUCGGGUCAACAGAAUUCCUUACUUAGAAUUUCGGGUUCGCGGACUUCAUUUGGAAAGUCGAAAAUUUCCUCGAUUUGGGAUUCAAGAUAAACCGGUGACUUGGGACACCAAAAGCCAAACCUUUCCCAAGUGGCGACUCUGAAUUAAAUAAAUAAUCCCAUUUCGAAUAUUGUCACUUAAAUUGGAAAAACUCCCUCGCGCAUUUAUCCCUCGGGAUAGGCGCGCAAAAGGGAGGUGUGACAAUGACCAGAUGGAGUUAUAUACGUGUAUAUAUGUAUAUUAUUUUUAUAUGGGAUACAGGAAGAAGGUUACAGCGUUAUAUACACACCACCACCUGAUCAGGUGGUAUAUGAUGAUGAUUUUGCCCACAGUGGCUGAAAUAUGACUCAGACGACGUUAUAUAUGUGUAUAUAUGUAAAUAUAUGUAUAUAGGGUAUGGGAAAAGGUUACGGCGUUAUACAUGCACCACCACCUGAUCAGCUGGUAUAUGUUGGUGAUGUGCCCACAGUGGCCGAGACGAUAUGAUUGAAUGCCCUCAGUGGCUUGAUGAUAUUAUGUACACCCAUACCUAUGCAUGACACAACAUUUAUACACAUGUGCAUAACGUUAUAAACGUUUUAGAAUUUACAAAGUUGUUCAAAUUUAAAGACAUGUUUCUAUAUUCCAUGUUCUAUCUAUGUCUGUUACGUACUAAUUUUCAUGCAUUACAUACUCGAUACAUUUUUCGUACUGAUGCCCUAUUUCCUUGCGUUUCAUGCCCCCAGGUGCAGGUAAGUAAGCUGAUGGCCCCCCUUCUUAGGACCCUUGACCAGCGAGAGUUGGCGUGCUCCAUUUGAUCUGAAGCUGCUUUUGAUUUUGGGUAAGAUAUAUGGGUAUAGCGUGGCUCAGUCCCGUCUUUGUACAGUUAUGUUUCUAUUAGAUGUAUGUGGACAGUAUGUCUAGCUGGGUUGUAUGUGGCCUUGUCGGCUUUCAAUUUUGGAUGUAUAGUUUUCUGUAGUAGCCUUGCUGGCUCGCCCACUGUAUUCUACAUGUAUACGUACAUAUGCCUUGAUGGCAGGUUUCCUUCACGUAUGUCAAUUUCGUAAUGCAGUAUACAUUAUACAGGUUCAUAUCCUAGACGCAUGUUUAAGGGUGUUUGACAGGUAGUACUCAGGCACCCAUCGCGACCCAUUGGUUUGGGUCGUGACAGCCAGGCCAAUGACAAUAUUGCAGAUCCUCCCCCAGCUCCGCCACGAGUAGCUCCUCGGGUGCUUCCAAAUGAAGGGUACGCAAGUGCAAUUGUCCCACCUCAGAUCCAGGCGGGCAAUUUCUAGAUUACAAAUAUCAUGCUGACCUUAUUAGAGCAAAGAGGGUACUUCACAGGCGCUCCCCAUCGGAAUGCAUAUAAAUAUCUAAAGGACUUUGUGGAUACCUACUGGGGUAGCAAAUAAAAAAAUAUAUCGGAGAUGCAUUGAGACUGAGAUUGUUCCCUUUCUCACUUACAGGGAAAGCUUUGGACUGGAUCGAAAGACUUCCCAACCGUUCCAUCACUACGUGGAAUGAGUUGGCCGACAAGUUUAUAGCCAAGUUUUUCUCACCGGGACAUAUGGUUGCAUUAAGGGAUGAGAUCUUAGCAUUCAAACAGGAACCAAAUAAACCCCUUCAUGAAAUCUGGGAUAGAUAUAGAACUAUGGUCAAGGAAUGCCCCAACAAUGAUAUGACUGAAGCAAUGAUCCAACAGACAUUUUAUCGGGGUAUAAACACGACCAAUCAAUGUGUGGUAAACCAGCUAGCAGGGAGUAAUUUUAUGAAGCUAUCUUAUGCUGAGGCCUGCGAGAUUCUUGAUGAAAUGGCUGGAACUUCAUCAGCCUGGCAGAGUAGGGAGAAUAUUCCUCAAGGGGAUCCUCAUGUCAUAAAUCAUCACAAAGAACUUCAAGACCACAGACAAGUCAUAGCUGAGUUGACAACAACCAUGAACUAGUUAGCCAAAGCACAGCUUCAGCAGAUUUAGGGACCAAAGCAAGUAAACGUAAUGGAAGGCGUUAAUCUAUUGGUGAACAAGAGGAGAAAGCAUGGGCUACAAAUUCAAGGCAAUAAAGAUCAAUAUGAGUAAGGCAGCAUUGGUUUCAACCAAGAUGAUGGUUAUAGUGAACAAAGUAAAGAGGUUUUGUAUGCCAACAAUUAUCAAGGACAACGAGGUAAUGCUCAAAAUCAACAGUGGAGAUCACAAGGGAAUAAUCAGAAUUGGGGAAACCAAGGCCAAGGAAAUUGGAACAAUAACAACAAAAACUCCAACAAUUUGGGUGGCAACAACAACCAAGGAAGUUGGAAUAAUGGUAAUCGGGGACAGGUUUUCAAAGGCCUCCAAUGUUUUAACAACCAAACAAUCCACCUCCAUUUCCAUCCCAAGGUCCUAGCUCGUCAAACAAUGAGAUGAGGAAGAUUGAGUAGAUAUUUGAGAAAAUGAUGAAAAAGAACGCCGACUCCGAUGCUCAAUUGGCGUCCCAUAAUACUUCGAUCGGCAAUCUAAAGGUCCAACUUGGUCAGAUUUUGCAAGCUUUGAACACUCGCCCUAAGGGGGCACUACUUAGUGACACGGUAGUAAACCCGAAGGGUGGGAACAAUAUCGGACAUACAAUGGUGGUGACCACUAGGAGUGGUAGAGGUGAUUAUGCAAAUACCUCCAAGCAAAAGGAAGUUGUGAGUGAUGAUGUUAAAUUGCAAAAUGAAGAUGAUCCUAUAGUUUUUGAGCAAAUGAGUAAAGAGAAUGUGAAUGGUGAGGUGAGAAUUGAUAUUCAUGACAAUGAGGAGGAGACUCAAAAUGACAUGAACCCGUCUAGGGAGCACGUGAUAGACAUGCCGGAAAUGGUAAUACCUAAAGCCAAGGCUCCCUUGUCUAGGCCUCCUCCACCUUACCCUCAAACACUUGCAAAGCACAAGAGUGAAAACCAGUUCAAGAAGUUUAUUGAGAUGAUGAAAAGUUUGUUGAUCAAUGUGCCUUCGGGAUAAGCCAAGUUUAUGAAAGACUUGGUGACUAGAAAGAGAUCUAUAGAUUGUGAGACCAUCACAAUGACUCAUCAAGUGAGUACCAUUGUGCACACGAUAGAUCCAAAGCUUGAAAAUCCUGGUACAUUUACCAUUCCAUGUACCAUUGGGAGUGCGAAUUUUGCAAAGGCCUUGUGUUAUUUGGGAGCAAGUAUAAAUUUGAUGCCUUACUCCGUAUUAAAAGCUUUGGGUAUUGGUCAACCAAGAACUACCUCCAUGAGAUUGCAAAUGGCCAAUAGAACAAUGAAGAGGCCGCUUGGUAUUAUUGAUGAUGUUCUUAUCUGAGUUGACAAGUUUAUUUUGCCUGUUGAUUUUGUGAUUCUGGACAGCGAAGUCGACUAUGAGGUGCCGAUAAUAUUGGGAAGGCCUUUCCUCGCAACAGGGAAGUCAUUGGUUGAUGUGGAAGUAGGGGAGUCACCUUCCGGGUGGGUGAUGAAAACAUUGUCUUCCAUGUGUGCAAAUCUAUGAGGCAGCCGAAUAUUACUAAGGUUUGUUCUUUUAUGGAUCUGGUGACGGAGGUGAUAGUUGAUGAUACAAGCACCAUGUUCAAUGUGGAGGAUCCUUUAAAAGCAGUAUUUUUGAACAAUGAUGUGACCGAGGAUGAAGGCUUGCUAGAGUGUGUCAAUGCCUUGCACGGAAUGGGUUCUUACUCCUAUGAGCCCUGUAAACUCUCCUUGGAUCUUGAGUGUCAUACCUCCUUUUUCACACCCCGAAAAGGGUAUAAGGGAGUUUUUCCAAUUAAUGUGACAAUCGAAACGGUAUUAUUUUAUUUAUAAAUCAGAGUCGCCACUUGGGAUAAUUUAUGGUGUCCCAAGUCACCGUUUUAGAAUCCCGAAUCGAGGAACGUUGACUCUUAUUUAUGGUCCGCGAACACAGAAAUUCGGGUAAGGAAUUCUGUUAACCCGGGAGAAGGUGUUAGGCAUUCUCGGGUUUUGUGGUUCUAGCACGGUUGCUCAACGAUUAUUAGUGGCUCAAUUAUCUGAUUUAAUUACACAUUUUAAACCUACGUGCCCUUUUAACAUUUUAGCCGCUUUUAAUAUUUCAGGAAAUUUCAAGGUUAUUUAAAAUACAUCGUAAGACACGCUACAUGAAAUGCACCCGCGGUUCACGACACGCUUUAUUUAACCUUGUUAGAAAUUAGAACCGGAUCACAUGAAAUAUACACCCGGAUUUAUAACAUGUUUAUUUUAAUUAUUAUUAUUCAAAAUUAUGGCAGGGUCAUAUAAAAUGCACACCCAUAGUUCAGUUGAUGAAUAGUAACCCAAUUUCUAUACUCUAACAAAAUCAUAUUCAGCUAUAACCAAUUCGAGAUGGCCGUAAAGCAAACAAUUAUGGAAUUUAUUGAUGGAUCAGUGGUGGAGUUUUAAACUAUUGGUAAGUUAAUCUAUUAAACAAUGUAUUUAUGCCCAUAUGAGUAUGAAUGAGAAUAUAAGAAAUCAUUAUGUUAGUCAGAACUCAAAAGCUAAUGCGAAACUAACUGUCGGCACCGUAGGUCAAUUAAUUCAAUCAUUUUCCCUAACAUUGAAACAAUUAUUUUGAAACCCGAAUUUUCAAAGUAACGCCUAACCUUGUAUCCUACUAUCCACAAAUCAUAAAUCUCCAAAACUCAUUUAUUCAUCCAAAAAAACAUUCCAGAGAACUAAAAAAAAAACUUAGUAUCUUAUUAAUCUAACAAUGAAAGCUAACAGGAUAUAUAUUGCUAAUAAAUGGUAUUUCAACUUGACAAUUCACCACUAAACAUUGAGCUUAUAUUAGAGAAAACAACAUACAACACCCAAGAGAAUAAAUGACUAACAAAAUCAUGAUAGAAUCUAAUUGAAACUAUGACCUCAAUGGAAGCUCAAAUUUUACAGGAUGAAACUAGAUAAUAUCUUUCCAGCAAUUCCAACAUAGCCUAAACCAAGAAAAAUUGAAAAGAAAUAAUAGAUAAGUAUCAUGCUAUUCAUAACACAUUCAAAAUUGACGUCAAAAUAGAAGUAAGAGUGGGGAAAAUUGAACCUGAGAUGGCUUCUUUUAAAUGAGUAAAAUCAGUGACUACAAUGAUAGGUUUAAACUGACUGUGUGCAAGACCCGACGACGAAAACAAACAUGAGCAACAACUGAAUCGGGCCUCAAACCAUACCCCGAACCGGCGGCUAGAACCUCGACUCGAAAACCCAAACGCCUUGCCAGAAAACUCGGAUGAUUAAGCAGAUCUGAAGGUUUUAGUCAUGUUCAUGGCUCUUCAUCACUGUUGGUCGCCAUUUUCGGUGAGACUUGGUGAAGGCGGCUGGAGACGGGUCUGUUUGGUUGGUGUUCCGGUGGUUUUUUGGUUGAAUAGCUGGCAGAGAUGGGGUCGUUUUUGAAGAGUGGUUAAGGUGGUAUUGAAUCAGUAAGAUGAAGAGAGGAACGUUUGAAGCUUUUUUAGAUGGGGNNNNN
This 6553-nucleotide long non-coding RNA is filed under the name Nicotiana tabacum (common tobacco). Its description in RNAcentral is "long non-coding RNA (NTAB_LNC005729)". The record is from RNAcentral. Lineage: Eukaryota; Viridiplantae; Streptophyta; Magnoliopsida; Solanales; Solanaceae.